RNAcentral lists this transfer RNA (85 nucleotides) under Felis catus (domestic cat). It matches the Rfam family "tRNA". From Rfam's summary of the family: Transfer RNA (tRNA) molecules are approximately 80 nucleotides in length. Their secondary structure includes four short double-helical elements and three loops (D, anti-codon, and T loops). Further hydrogen bonds mediate the characteristic L-shaped molecular structure. tRNAs have two regions of fundamental functional importance: the anti-codon, which is responsible for specific mRNA codon recognition, and the 3' end, to which the tRNAs corresponding amino acid is attached (by aminoacyl-tRNA synthetases). tRNAs cope with the degeneracy of the genetic code in two manners: having more than one tRNA (with a specific anti-codon) for a particular amino acid; and 'wobble' base-pairing, i.e. permitting non-standard base-pairing at the 3rd anti-codon position. Lineage: Eukaryota; Metazoa; Chordata; Mammalia; Carnivora; Felidae. The record is from Rfam by way of RNAcentral.
GCCUGGGUGGCUCAGUCGGUUGAGCGUCUGACUUCGGCUCAGGUCAUGAUCUCACAGUUUGUGGGUUCAAGCCCCACAUCAGGCU